CCCCUCUAUCGCAACGUACAUCCAGUUUCAUCUCUUUGGAGAUUUCUCUGGGAUGUCGUGCAAGCUUCUGAUUUGGGCAGUUGUUGGUGAUGAUUCAUGCCAGGCAUCCACACAGUGGAGCAUCUUCUCAUGAUUUUCUGGGUAUAUUUCCUUUUUUUUAGUGCAACAUGGGCAAGUUAGUGAGACCCUGUAUACAAAUUAAACACUUAAAAAAGACAGGAAAAGUAGAUCAGUGUGAAGAACGUGGCUUCAAUCUCCAGUAGAGGUGGUAGGGGGGAGGGGAGAUACAAACAAAACUAACAAGAGUGAAGCAAAGUGUAAUGCACAUACAAAACAUGUGCGGCAAGCCCAAGUGGCCAGCUUGAUGUGUACUCACAAUGUGCACACACUCUGCCACCCAGGUGUUACAAGGGGCCUUCACAAUACCCCAGGAGCUUCUGUUGGGUCUCUUAGUCUUUGUUUUCAACCUUUUUAUUUUUCAUUUAAUUAUUGUGAUUACCAGUGAUAGGAUAUUAUUAUUCUGGUAAUGCUGGAGAUUGAACCCAGGGCCUUGCUCACACUCAUGUUCCACCACUGACCUAAAAACUAGCCUGGGAGGAUUUUAAAAACUUCUUUGAUGGAUUCUGCACUCUGGCUUCCAAGAUCCUGGGCAUCCCUUCACAGCCAAAUUCUGUGGGCUUUUUUCAGCCUUGUGGCAUGUGGUCUCACACACUUAGCGUUCUAGAAACUUCCCUGUCUGGCCUCUGUAACUGCCUGUCUGUGUUCCUCCAGGUCCUCUCCACUUUCUGUUUCCUUCUUCUGGACAUGUGUGUGGACAGGGUGUUCCCCUUGGUCCGGGCUUUAGCCUCCUCUUCAAGCUGUGACUGGUCCUGGUGUGUGCUGACCCUAUGCCCCUCUCCCAGCUCCAUACCUCUCUCCAGAGCUACACACUUGUGCCAACUUCCACUGGACUUCCCACUGGGAUCCCUCGGGGCAUGUCAUCCCCAACAGCCCCAGCUCUGUCUCAUCAUCCCUCCUGCCCAAGGAUGUUUCAGUCACAUUCUCUGUCAGCUUAAAGAUCAACAUCACCUGCAUGGACGCUUCACCCAAAACCCUGGCAACAUCGGAGAUGUCUCCUCUCAGAUGGUAGCAUUCCAUCUCCUUAGCAUCCCUGGAACCUGUCCUCUUUCAUACCUCACUUUUCCCUGCCUAAAUCUUCAUCAUCUUUUUCUUGAAUAGCUUAUUUCUCAUUCAUAUGACUGUUUAGCAGCAUAAUUAAUUGUAAGCAGAUUGAAGCCAUGUCCUCAAGUAUAAAGAGUGAGAUGAAAGAAUAUGAUUGGGGAAGAGGGUUCCCUGUAGGGAAGACUUCUCUGAAGAGGCCUCUCUGAGGCCUGAAGCAGGAGUGAGCUAAACCUCAAAACCUUUAGACAGCAGAUUCAUGGUUCACUGUGUGGUCUUCAGGUCUUCAAGCUGCCACUCCCUGUAAAUAUUGAGUACUUUAAUCUCAUCAAAUGCUUAAGACUCAAAAACAAAAGCCAUAUGAUAUUUCCUUCCUGUCAAUGUACCUGAUUCCAUCUGUUAAGAAAAGAUUAUUUAAUAAUAUUAGUUAAAGUACAGUAAGACUUUACCCAGGACCUUUGAGACAGGCAUAGGGACCACUGAUGCAGGGUCUUACUGUGGGGACAGCCGAGGCUCAUCUCUGAGUGCAGCUUGGGCAUAGGGGAUUCACAGCCAAGAGCAGGUGGGGUCAGCGGAUGGAAAGUCACUUUGGAGAUUCUGUAACCUGUGACAAGCCUCUUCCUGUGGGCAGGCCAGAGUGACCAGGCUUCACUGGGGGACCUGAUGGAACGUGAGGGGAGAUCCGAUCCAAGGGUGGAGAGGGCCUCGCUUUGUAGUCUAGGAUGACCUUGACCUUCUGGUGAUUCUCCUGCCUCAGCCUCCCAAGUGUUGGGGUCACAGGUAUGUGCCACCACUAAUGUUCCCUUUGUGAUCUGGCAUAUUAACAAGUUCUGUAAAUGUUCCACAGAAACAUGAGAAAAAAUGUGAGUAAGCCCUCUUUGUACCGUACAGAGUAAGUCCUAUGUCUACAAUAACUGGGAUCAGAACUGAUUCGGAUAUUGAAUUUUUAUAGAUAAACAGAGAUAGGUAGACAAAGAGAUAGAAAAUCUUGGGGAUGGGACACAAGUCUAAAUAUGAAAUUCAUUGAUGUUUCCUAUACACUUUGUGCAAACAGCCCAAAGGUAACUUUAUACAAUACUUUAAAUAAUUUUGUGCAUAAGAGAAAGUUUCAUGCAUCAUAUUGGCACUGCAAAAGCUUUCUCCUUUGGCAACUUUAGAUUUCUGACACUAUGGGCAGGUACUGCUUUGUGUAUUUUGAUGUUCUGUUAUCCAAUACUGUACAUAAGAUUGUGUGAUAAUUAAAUCAUUGUGAAUGAUAUCGCUUAUCCAUCUAAAAUAAUCUUUUUAUCACAAUAAUCACCUGCUUUUGUUGUAGAUAGCAGUUAGACAGGGCUGGCCCUUGAGGGAGUCAAUACAGAAGAAAUGAGGCACAUUUACUGAAGGCCAGGAUUCAAAAAAGAGGAGCUACUGUACUUUAAUACUUUUCCUAGUCAUGAACAGCAGUGAUUGAUAUUCUAAGUAGGCAUCAAUCACCUUGGGUGGGGACCAAAACCUCCCUUAGCACAUUCCUUCCCAAAAUCCUUGUUUGGCCCGUGUAUGCUUGCUACAUGACUUGCUUCCCCAUUUGAUCCCCCUUUAGUCAAUAUGAUCUAGUGACUAUACUUAUAAUCAUAUUGAUUGACCCUCAUUUUGCCCCACCUCAUUCCACCUUGUGUUUUCCCAUUGGAUCAAUAUUACCUAAGCGACUAUACUUUUCAUCUUAUUAGUUGACUACAGUUUUGUCCCACCUUGAACCUGCCUCCCCUUAUGGCUUUGCUCAAAACACUCUUGAGAAGCAGGGUCAGUGGGCAACCCACUUUUGGGGUGUCCUCUCCUGACCCUCUCAGGCAGGAGCUGUCUUUCUCCCAAUGAAUAGUCCCUACUCUUAACCUCUGUUGUUUCUAGAAUUCAUUCUUUGAUUUUGGAGAACACAAACUUGGCAUUUCAGCAGAUGUCUAGCAGGUUGGGAGUUAUAAUAUUUCCGUUAUUUGGAGGUCCACGUAGCAUACAGCCUAUAUCACUUUGUCAGAUAGUUUUAAUACCACUUACCACCUUGCAGUCAGGGUUUGCAAAGAAAUAGAUUUUAUACAGGACACAUAAUUUAUAGGAUUAUUUUAUAAUAUUCCCCCAAAAAGUCAAAUACGGAGGAGCGCAAAAGAUCUGUCCACACACUAGAGACCUAAAGAAUACAGCUGAGGGCCUGGAUCCCACAGCAGUGUCCCCCUCGAGUCCAGCCAGAGCUCUAGAGUCCACGGCAGUGUCUCAUGCAAGUCCAUAUCGAGGAUCUGCAUCAGGAAGGCCCAACGGCCAGUCGUGGAAGCCAGAAAGUCUGCACCGUGAGGUGAAGGGUCUAUGCGACCAGGCUGAGGGAUCUGCACUGGAGCCCUGACGUGAUGCUCAGGGUGAGGACCCGAGCUCCUCAGAUGAUAACAGCUGAGUUCGUAUCAGGAAAACCAGCCACGGAAAGCUUCUCCAGAAAAAUCAACAGUAUACAGUAUUCCCCUCCAGUUCUCCUUCUACGCACUGGCAACAAUCCUCAGUUUAUGAAAGCAGGAGCUCGGGAUAGGAGGAGCUGAGCAGCAGAGGGCUGCGUGCACACCUCUUCGUGGUCCUCGCCGGCGUGGGGACACUGUCCUGUCCCGGCCUCACCUCGGUCCGCCCAGCCCGGUCUGUGCAGAGAGCGAUCGCUGCCGGCUGAGGCGCCCUCUCCAGGAGGUCAAAGGGAGCGGGACGGAAGCGCGCUCGGCCUGCGCAGUGUGCAAAUGUGUUCCCUGGGUGCGCAGGAGCCAGCGGCGCUGUUCUGCUUGUCUUUAGACUGCAAAAGUCAAGCUCAGGAGGGCCACAGCUGUCCAAGGUCUCAGGCUAGCCCGGCCCCCCGGACGAACCCCAGAGCCAGAGGCACAGCAGAGGCCUGACGCCGUGCCCAGGGCUACUCAACUGCCCCCUGUACGGAUUCCAGUGCGACUAACACCCGCCUGGGGAGAUCUGUCACUCCGCGAGCUCUGCACCCCCGCAGGGCCUGGGGCAGCACCGAGCCCGCCAUCGUCCUUCUGGUUCGGACGCGUUGCUCCAUUUGUCCAGCAGGUGGCGCCACACAACCGCCGGAAUCCGUGGCUUCCCAGCUCACUUUGAGAAUUAAGAGCAAAAAUCAA
This is a long non-coding RNA of Heterocephalus glaber (naked mole-rat), 4289 nucleotides long. The record is from Ensembl. NCBI's taxonomy places the organism in Eukaryota, Metazoa, Chordata, Mammalia, Rodentia, Bathyergidae.